GAGGGUAUAUCUCAGUGGUUGAGUGCGUGCUUAACAUGCAGGAGGUCCUGGGUUCAAUCCCCAGUCCCUCCA
This 72-nucleotide transfer RNA is filed under the name Camelus bactrianus (Bactrian camel). It matches the Rfam family "tRNA". Rfam says of the family: Transfer RNA (tRNA) molecules are approximately 80 nucleotides in length. Their secondary structure includes four short double-helical elements and three loops (D, anti-codon, and T loops). RNAcentral also lists the same sequence under 2 other names. Lineage: Eukaryota; Metazoa; Chordata; Mammalia; Artiodactyla; Camelidae. The record is from Rfam by way of RNAcentral.